UUCGCAAUGCCCGAAAGGGUGACGAAGCGACGCCGCGUGCGGGAAGAAGGCCUUCGGGUUGUAAACCGCUGUCGGGAGUUAAGAAAUGCAAGGAUGUUAAUAGCGUCUUUGCUUGACUAAGGCUCCGGAGGAAGCCACGGCUAACUCUGUGCCAGCAGCCGCGGUAAUACAGAGGCGGCAAGCGUUGUUCGGAAUUAUUGGGCGUAAAGAGCACGUAGGCGGCUGUGUAAGCCGGUUGUGAAAGCCUUCCGCUCAACGGAAGAACGGCAUCCGAUACUGCAUGGCUUGAGUGCGGGAGGGGAGAGUGGAACUUCUGGUGGAGCGGUGAAAUGCGUAGAUAUCAGAAGGAACACCGGCGGCGAAGGCGACUCUCUGGCCCGUAACUGACGCUGAGUGUGCGAAAGCUAGGGGAGCAAACGGGAUUAGAUGCCCCGGUAGUCCUAGCCGUAAACGAUGGGCACUAAGUAGAGGGGUUUU
RNAcentral lists this ribosomal RNA (477 nucleotides) under uncultured anaerobic ammonium-oxidizing bacterium. RNAcentral describes it as "bacterial SSU rRNA". It matches the Rfam family "Bacterial small subunit ribosomal RNA", at positions 365 to 832 of the family's 1533-position model. The record is from RNAcentral.